UGAACGCUGGCGGCGUGCCUAAUACAUGCAAGUCGAACGAUGAAGCUUCUAGCUUGCUAGAAGUGGAUUAGUGGCGCACGGGUGAGUAAGGUAUAGUUAAUCUGCCCUACACAAGAGGACAACAGUUGGAAACGACUGCUAAUACUCUAUACUCCUGCUUAACACAAGUUGAGUAGGGAAAGUUUUUCGGUGUAGGAUGAGACUAUAUAGUAUCAGCUAGUUGGUAAGGUAAUGGCUUACCAAGGCUAUGACGCUUAACUGGUCUGAGAGGAUGAUCAGUCACACUGGAACUGAGACACGGUCCAGACUCCUACGGGAGGCAGCAGUAGGGAAUAUUGCGCAAUGGGGGAAACCCUGACGCAGCAACGCCGCGUGGAGGAUGACACUUUUCGGAGCGUAAACUCCUUUUCUUAGGGAAGAAUUCUGACGGUACCUAAGGAAUAAGCACCGGCUAACUCUGUGCCAGCAGCCGCGGUAAUACGGAGGGUGCAAGCGUUACUCGGAAUCACUGGGCGUAAAGGGCG
RNAcentral lists this ribosomal RNA (524 nucleotides) under Acinetobacter baumannii. Its description in RNAcentral is "bacterial SSU rRNA". It matches the Rfam family "Bacterial small subunit ribosomal RNA", at positions 30 to 569 of the family's 1533-position model. Lineage: Bacteria; Pseudomonadati; Pseudomonadota; Gammaproteobacteria; Moraxellales; Moraxellaceae. The record is from RNAcentral.